AUUGACUAGAAGCAGCUUACUUAGAAGAACAGAUCUUAGCUUACAGACCCCAAAGGCAAGGAGGGAGGACCCUAUACCCCUUUCUAGUUAUUCCUCCUGUUGACUGAAAAGACCCCUGAGUUUGAAUCUAUCGUCAACAGGGAUGGCACAGUCUUCAGGCAGCUGAAGGUCACAGUUGUUCAAACCCCAUCCUUGAGGCACUUGACAAGGUCAGAAGGCUUGAGAGAAUCUCACAAGGUGAAAAAGAAAAUCUUAGAAGCUAAUGAAUGCUUAACAAAAGCUUCUCUACGGAACUGAACUAGUUCAGAACCUGUUCUGGGAGACUGCACAGUUACCCAAGGUCAACCGCUGUUUUGGAUACUGGAGUCAAAGAAGGGCCCUCUUUGAGAGAAACCUGGGUGAAGAAGAAAGGAACCACACAGCCACCCACAGCAACAAGUGGGCCAAAGCACAAGCACAGAGACUGGAAAAGAAAAUGGAGACAGGGGAACAGGAAGAGAAGAGAAAACAAAACAAGUUGGUGGGAGCUAGAGUUUUUUCUAGAAAGAGGGCUGGGAAGCUCAAAACUCCAUUUUGAGGGUGGGUUUGACAUGCUUUAUGGGUAAUGACAUUUGGUUUAACAACUUACUUGGUCUGGUCAGAAACGAG
RNAcentral lists this long non-coding RNA (648 nucleotides) under Equus asinus (donkey). Its description in RNAcentral is "lncRNA (ENSEASG00005028690.1)". Lineage: Eukaryota; Metazoa; Chordata; Mammalia; Perissodactyla; Equidae. The record is from RNAcentral.